AGAACAAGCCAAGGUGGUUGCCUCUCAGGGGCAAAAAGAAUUACAACGUGAAUUCUUUUUUGAUAAGGCCUGAGGGGAGGAAAGUCCGAGCUCCAAAGGGUAAUGUAUCCUGGUAACGCAGGACGCUGCGACAAAACGUCGUGGAAGGAUUAGAGCUACAGUGACGAUACCCUGCACCACACAGGUGCCGGGGGUGAAACGAGCAAUCUCUGCAUGGAGCAAGGCCAAAUAGGGAGAGACUCAAAUAUGAUUUUGAGACGGGGUGACCCGCUCCGGUUGGAUCUCCGGGUAGGCUGCAAGAGUUUAGAACGUAAGUUCUAAAGUGAGUUGAAUAACCAUUGAUCUCGGUUGUGAAUAUCGAGGGAUACAAAACUCGGCUUAUUGGCUUGUUUUUUUC
Molecule: RNase P RNA, 397 nt
Filed under: Candidatus Omnitrophota bacterium
Lineage: Bacteria; Pseudomonadati; Candidatus Omnitrophota
Description: RNase P RNA component class A
Rfam family: Bacterial RNase P class A
About the family: Ribonuclease P (RNase P) is a ubiquitous endoribonuclease, found in archaea, bacteria and eukarya as well as chloroplasts and mitochondria. Its best characterised activity is the generation of mature 5'-ends of tRNAs by cleaving the 5'-leader elements of precursor-tRNAs.
Source: RNAcentral